This 1259-nucleotide long non-coding RNA is filed under the name Homo sapiens (human). RNAcentral describes it as "HSALNT0101210". The record is from RNAcentral. Lineage: Eukaryota; Metazoa; Chordata; Mammalia; Primates; Hominidae.
AGCUCUGUCAAACGCUGCUGCUGGGUGGAGCUCCCUGAAGACAGAGAGUGAACCCUUGGUUUUCGCCAUGUAGAGGUCUGCUGUGCUGAGACUCAUGGCAAACCCCAGGAGCCACCUAUGAUGUGCCAGACACAUAAGCCCCUCCCUCACAGGCGUGGGUGCAGCCGGGGCCGACCGCAUUCCAAGGAGCAUUUCCUCUGAAAGCCAGGCCAAGUGCCCGCUCUCCAGCGUGAGUCAAGCAGUGCCAUGCCUCCCACACCCCUUGCAUCACAUCUCUGGGAAUGCACAGACCUUGCUGUUACGCUCUCUCUUCCCACCCUUUAUGGGUGUUUUCUUUAAGUGGCAGAAGGAAGUGGGCAUGGGUUGGGAGAGGACCAUGAAUUCUAGUUUCUGCCAUACUGCAGGUGGAUUUGGGGAAGAAGAGAGUCUCCUUUCUGGCCCACACCACAGGGACAUUCAGAAGCAGUUGUUAAAGGGGGAGCAGCAUUGGCUGGGCCCAGGGAAGGACAAGUAGAUGACUGUAUAAAGCCAGGCAUGAGAGCAGUUGGAAUAAGUUGUUUCACUCAUAAAUUUAUGGUGAGCCUUGUCCAUAUUGUUAAUGGCAUAUUCUUGUGAAGCAGACCUACAUACUUCUGAAAAGCACGGCCUUGUUCCCUGCUCAGCUAACUCUGUCUGAUCUCCUGACAUAUAUAUGUGGCAAUUUGGAAUUCUAAGCAGAGUUCAAAAUUCUAGGCCAAGAUUGGGAUUUGGAGGAGAAAAGGGGCCAGUUCCAGAGCAAGGGGAAGAAUAAAAUCUCUCCACUGUGGACACUGAAAUGAGACUGAUAAUGACCUAUUUAUUAUCCAUCUAGGGCAGACCCCACAGGCAGGGGUCAUGCAUGGGGGAGUUCAAAACCUAGUUCAUCAGGUUCUUUCCUCCAGGAUUUUGGUCUAGGCAACAUCAGAUGAAAACGAACACUAAGGGCAAUCCUGAAGAACCAAAAGAAACUGGCAAUGGACAGGUAUAAAAGUGUGUGUGCGCGUACCUGUGUGUGCGCGCGCAUCUGUGUGUGUGCGCGCACCUGUGUGCUUGCACCUGUGUGUGUGCGCGUACCUGUGUGUGCCCGUGUGUGCGCGCACCUGUGUGUGUGUGUGCACGUGCUGACAUUCAAGGCAACAGCAGGGCUUCUUUACUACUAAUCAACCUUUUUCUUCUCUGUUGGCCAUGCACUUCCGUAUGGCUCAGCAAACGUGCAAAGGAAGGAAUAGUGGGAGUUGGAG